Molecule: long non-coding RNA, 6473 nt
Filed under: Sus scrofa (pig)
Lineage: Eukaryota; Metazoa; Chordata; Mammalia; Artiodactyla; Suidae
Description: lncRNA (ENSSSCG00015059902.1)
Source: RNAcentral
GGGAGUAACCUAGAAUGAUCUAUGUAGUGAUGAUGGUUUGGGGCUAGAGACAUAAUUAUGAACUCAUGGUUAGUUUAAUAUAGAUACAGGUUUUUGCAUAUGGAAAUAUUUAUGUCUAUUCAGGGUUUUUUUUCCUUACUGUGUCAGCUAGGAGGGCACACAGAAGCAAUGACACCCAUAUAGCAAUGAGCACACAUUGCCUAGACCUUGAAUUCUGAUCUUAUUCCCCAGGAAGAGGAUCCUUAGAGAAAUGGCUGAUUCUAGGACUGGAGCAUCUUAUAGUGUCAGAAAGUAAGGAAGUGCUCAAGACUGAAACAAUACUCAUGAUGAUGAGGGUGUGUCAAGAGGACACGGGAGAUUAACUGGAAAGGGUUCUAAAGGAAAUCUGAGUCAAUAAACUAUUGAAUAAAUAAAUGGCAGAGAACAGUUAAAUCUCCCAUGUAGAAGAAUUCCAAAUAAGUUGUGUAGAUACUCUGCCCUCUGGGAGCACAAGCCCCUGCUCCCUAAGUGGAGGCCAUACUUAGUCCCUUCCUUCCAAGAGGGGACAGUGUAGAAAGGGGGAGAGCAAGCAGGUGGAGAAACCUGACAAACGAGCAGCGAGGUGACCCAGAUCCGUAUCAGUGAGGAGGCCUGGCUCGGGAGUAGCCACCCUUAGCAGUGAUGUGAUGGGAAUGGCAUGUUACCUUCCCCAAACACCGCCUUCAUCUGCUCAUGAGAAAAACCUCGGGCAAAUCACAACUGUGAGACACAUCCUACAAAAUACCUGACCGGUAGGUCAAGGUCCUCAACACAGAGAUGGAGAAAUGGUCGCAGCCGCGGGGACCUAACUGCAUUGAAUGUGGCAUCCUCAAUGGGAUUCUAGGACGGAAAAAGGACAUUCAGAAAAAGACCAAAGAAACCUUAAUAAAGCAUGGGCUUUGGCUAAUAAUAGUCAGUAUUGGCUCAAACUAUGGCAAAUGUACCACAAUAAUAUAAGACAAUUAUAGUGAAGCAGGGAUUGGUGUGGGAACUCUCUGUACUAUCGUGGCCAUUUUUUGGUGGAUCUAAAGCUAUUCUAACAUUCUGUAAAUCCGGAACUAUUCUAAAAUUUUUUAAUUUUAAAGCAAAAUGUAAAACGCAUUCAGUUAAGGAAAAUAAUACCUUAGGAAAUAACAUAAAUAAGAGAUACAUACAAAACCCAAUGGUUGUCUAUAAGGAAAGAGAAUGAAAGUGUAGGAUGUAGAUGGAUGGCGGGGAAGGAGCCCAGGAGGGAGAGAGGAAAAGACUUUCAGGAACCAGUGAGGAUGAUUUUCUGUGAACCAGUAAUUGAGGUAAAUCUAAGCUUCUGACCAGAGAUCUAUAAAAGGGGAAAAAAAUAAUAAUAUACCCCAUUCCAGUCCCAUGAUAUCAAUGCUUCUGCUGCAUCACGGGUCCAAUAUUUGUAUUAUAUUUACCUGUGCUUCAUUCUUUUGAAAGAAUCACCUUCAGAGCAAUGGCUUCUCCUGCUCACCUUCUACAUUGAAGCCCAAGGGCAUUGCUCAUAUCAAGUAGGAAACUGGGUACCUUCUCUGUACCCUUGCAGGUCAAGAACCCUCUCUAAUGAGGGACUUUGAUAGAGCAAAAUAGGUGUAUAUGCACGGGUAUGUAAGUAUUAUCUUUGUGGCUCUUAAAUUCCUUUAAUUUCCUUAUAGUCGUAGUGGUCUGCGAGAUAUUUGGAGAAAAUAUUAAUAAGAGAAAAUGGACUUGCACUUGGGAGUUGGAGAGAUCUGGGUUCAGAUCUAGGGUAGAAGUUAGGCUUAAGCAAAUGACUUAAUUCUUUCGGUAUUUCAGUUCUCUUAUCUGGAAAAACUGUCAUACUGGAGGUAAAGUGUGUGUAUACCUAGAACUGGGCUUUAUCUACAGCGGUGCUCAAUUUUCCUUGACUUUCCCACUGUUACCUUUAGAUACUGAGAUAAGUGAUGCUAUCUUAGAGGAAAAUGGGAAAAUUGCAGACCGAAAUAUCUACCUGCUUAGCUAGUUUCAUGGAUGUGCUCUCUGGUAUUUGGUUCUUAGGUAAAGGUUAUCUUCCAGUGAGGGUAAUUCAGGGGGCUGUGUGCCCAUGCCUUGUGAAUCAGGAGGUGAAAGGACUGAUCCUUUGUCUAUCAUCCACUGAGUUUGUAAUCUAGGGACACUCACCUCCUUUUCUCUGGACUCAGUUUUCUCACUUUUAAAUGUUACUAGUUGACCUCCCAGAAGCCUCAUGAGGAAGCCCUCUCAAGAAAGGAAAACCAAAAUUGUUCUUUGUUUCCAUAAACAUUGCCCUCACCCCUAGGUGGGCCUCUGUGCCCUUUGCUGAGAUGUGGUUCCCUUAUUGGUGGAAGCUGAUGUAGCUUUUAGGAACUUUUAAAUAUGUGCCCAUUAGUAAAAUUAUCAGGGACUCAGAUAUGUUUUAGAACCAGUUGAAACUAAAAGCAUGGUUUCGAAGGUCCCUACCAGUUCUAAUAUCCCAUUUCUUGUUGGAGUAUGAGAUGACUUUUUUCCAUAAGACCUCCCCCAUCCAGUCACUGCACACAAAAUUAUGGGGGGAAAGUGUCUGCUGAAAUGAAAGGACUUCAGGUGGGUACAAAGGUGAGAACAAGAAAAAAUUCACAAGGCAAGGCCAUUUUUGAGUCCUCCAAAUGGAUAUUUCAUUUGGCUUCAUAUGAAGAUCCAACUCGAUUUAAUUCCAGAAUAUUCUACUGAGCACCCACCAUGACCCAGACACUCUGUCUUCAGUCCAGGAGUAACAAGGAGUGUUUGAAAGCGUAAAUCACAGGAAUUACGAGAUCAAGUUUGCAUUUGAGAGAGAUCACCGCAGGGAGUGGAGAAAGUGGAAAGGCGGCAAGACCAUGGGGAAGGUUGAGGAGGUUCUUGAAAAAGUCCAGAGAAAAUGCGACGGCUUUCUGUGUCAGCCUGGGCGGAAGAGACUGGACCUGGGUGGUUCUGAGGGAGAUACAGGAAGAAAGGAAACCCAAGCUUCGUGACUGGAUAAAAGACACAUGUACAAUGAGUUUGUUGCAUUUGUAAUACGAGAUGUACAGGGUUGGAGGGCGGGGACCGGAAUGCAAACUAGGAGGUGCCUCUGAGAAGCAGAUCCUCUUCCUCGGACUGGCUGAGGAUGGGGUUUUCCUUGACUCCUCUUCAUAAAUCUGCACCGGAGAAAAACAAGAGGCCAGACAAGAAGAUGCAUGUCUGCGGUAAAAGGCAAAACAUGUUUGGCCCUCACAGGGUUGGGGUGGGGGGAGGAAGAGGGGAGAAGGAAUGUUCUGGAGCCAUCUGCCCCGGAGGAGGUGAGGACUGGUUUGUGAGGCUGCCAGUAUCUGCAGCGAGAUGUUAAUGGGGGUUAUCAGCUGUCCCCGAAACAAAGGCAGGGAGGGUGCUGGCAGCCCCGGAGCCCCAGCCAGCCAAGGCCUGUGCGCACGCCCGCCCGCGUGUGCACGUCCCAGAAGAAACACGGGGCUUGCUGCAGACAGACGUCCUGUGAGAACAAAGACUCUGGGCAUGGCCCCCUUUGAGCACCAGCUACUCAAGACGGACACCUUUCCCCGGCCCUUGGCACGUCUCAGCAGGGGCCCACCUGCAGACAGCCCCUCCUACUCCUUUUGCCUCCGGCAGAAAAAAGUGGAUCCCUUUUAUCCCAAAGAGAAGGUCCCCCCCACCAUGGAAAUCCUGCACCCCAAUCAAAUACACCGUCACGCAGAGUCCCAGAAGCCUUCUCAGCAUUAAAGGCAGGUCAGUUUUCUUGUCCUUGUCAAUUCACAUUUCCAAACCAGGGCUUGUAUUUAAGCACAUUCCUCUUAAAUGAGCUCUUGUCGGAAGAGCAGAUCCUGGGACAUGCUCUGUACAUGCGUCCAGAGUGGACACCCAACAGCAUCUCUCAAGUACUUUGGCAUUUUGCCCUGUUUGAUGCCAUCAGAAGGGGGUCCAGGAAUCAACUUGAUGUUCCUGAUCGCCCAGAAACUAUCUGACCUCUGGAGGUCUUGGUAGCAGAUACCAUAAACGUAUGAAUUUGCAAUGAGACUGACGUGGGCUGAGUCCUGGCUUUUCCACUGACCUUGAGCCUCUGCCUUAAUGUCUCUGCUUCAGUUUCCUCAUCUGUAAUCUGGGAAUAAUAACCAUGAGUCGGCUCUAUGAGCCCUAUUUUACAGAUGGGGAAAACUGAGACACAAAGAGAAGACCUGAUUGUUCCCAAAUGAAGCAACGCAUGAAAAGCAUAGUCGGAAAGUGAACCCAGGCAGUCUGGCCCCUUCCUGCCUUGCCUGCCACACUUCAAAUUUCUUCUUUAACUUUCAAAGCAGCUCUGCUCAUGGGAACUGGAACAAGUUACUUAAGCCCCCUCAGUCUCUUUGCCUCAAGAGAAAAUAGGGUUUUCUCAUCACAGACGUCAUAGAAUGCUAGGGCAGUAACAGGCAUUCAGGUAACAGGGUUCGCAGAGUGCCUGCACUGUUGUGAGCACAGCAAGAGAGGCUGUAGUCACUUCAGCGCCAACACUAAUCAGGUUGUUACCAUCACAACACGCACUAUACUUGUAAUUAUUUGUCUCAGUGUUUCUGAUUUCUUUGAACUACAUGUUCAAGGACAGAAUCUGCCUCUUCCUUAUUUGCCCCAGGAGCCACAGCAUUUGGCAACUCACACAGCCCCAGAACGUGCUGUGCCUUUCCGUGAUAUCCACCGAUGAAUGAAUUGACGACUGCGUGCCGCCUCUGUCUUGGAUUGCUGUAAGAAUUAAAUGAGAUAAUGGAUGUACAAAGAGCUAGUACAAGGUUUGGCUUGAGAAUUCCACCCAAUUAGCGUUAGACCUUCCCCCUUUGCAACCAGACAUGACUAUCUGAGAUAAACACCCAGAAUCACAUGAUCCAGAGAGUAACAAACAGAAGGCCUGGGCUGUUUUGACCAACACCAACAUCCCAGACGUAAUCCACAUACCACGUGACCUGGGCAGGUGCUCGGAAGAGGAACACCAGCUGGGCUCCACCUUGAUAGGCAGCACUACCGCACAUCAUGGGUGAACCACACUGGGCACGUUUGGAAGGCUCAAGAGCAGAAAAGGGAAGGCACUUGACGUCCUGAUUGAUUAAAGCUACUAACUGGGUCCAUGCACGGUACAAGCACCGGCAGCUCUUGCUGAUUGGGUACCAGGGAAGAGUUUGGCAGAGAUGAGUGAAACUACAGCCAAUCCACCCGUGAGCCAAGGUGCUGCAUCCAUAAAGGGAUGAUUGAAUUGACUGCAUUUGGAAAUAGAAGUUGCUGAUGGUGUUCAGAAACUCUAAGUAGAAAUAGUUGUUCAGAAAUGAAAUAAAAGCAUAAUAGACAGGUGGGCAAAAAAGUCUCUUCACACUUGAAACAAUGCAGAAAAUCUAAUAACUAAAAUCAUAAAAUCAAAAGGCAGCAGGCAAUGUGCAUCACACAGGCUUCCCCUCUAGUCUUGGCUCUGCCACCUGGGACCUGAGGCAAGUCAACUAGCACCUCUGAGCAACUAUUUCCUCUUCUGCAAAAUGGAGAAUACCUACUUUGCAGAGGUAUGGGAAAGCUUCCGUUAAUAAUCUAUGUAAAGGACUGGCAAGUGGUUGAUCUGCUGCCCUGACCACCACGACCUAAAUUAGCCACCCUGAUUAGAUGAGCCAGCCCACCUGGAAUCCGUGCACUCCUCUCUUCCCUCUGAAGUGGCUCUGGUGGUUGUGUACCAUGUUGUGUUGUGAGUCUAUUAAUAUAACUCACCCAGGGCUGGUAACAGGACAAGUGGCAAAUAAGGACUUAGAGGUGGUAGGGACCUGGAUCAUUCUCAAAUAAGAUAAGCCACUGCAGAAAUAAAUGACAGGGCAGUGGCUGGAAUGGAGGAGGGAGAGGGGGGCUGGCAUGAACCUAGAAGGCCAGGAAAGGGCAAAUUCUGAGAAAAGAGGCAACAGGAAGAGCUCUAGGAGAGAGCUGAAGCCCAGCAGUCUAGGAGAGAGCUGAAGCCCAGCAGUGGCCCACAUGAGAGAGAGAGAGCAGCUAAGUGAUGAUGCAUCACCCGCUCCGCUGAUUCUCUACCUGCCUAGCGUGAAUUAUGAAGGCCAAGCAUGGUGGAGGCAGCAGCCAAUGAGAGGCAAGCUAAGUCAUGGCUGGCAGCCCUGGACCAUCUCGGGAAGAGGAGGAGCAGAUACCACAGGAGGUGGGAAGUGACCCUAGGCUGGAAAUGGGGCUGGUUGAAUAUCCAUGUAAUAGGAACCUUAGCCACCAGGGUACCCUACCUCAUCAGAUACCCAGGGCAGGAGACAGAGUGGGUCACUGGUGACUCAGGAAAUCUCUUGACUCACUUUUAUUUAACUUCCUAUUUAAUUCCUUUUUAAUUUAUGCCAGCAGAACUAAAAAUCUUACAAUAAAUUUCUGCUAUACACAAUGCUAAUGAGAGCUGGUAUGUAACUAUGCCAGAGUAUUUUUUUUUCUUUAUUUAAAGCCAUAAAUUACUUUUUAAGUCAAACUUUACUGGAAAAAAA